Long non-coding RNA from Tympanuchus pallidicinctus (lesser prairie-chicken), 912 nucleotides. RefSeq lists it as uncharacterized. NCBI's taxonomy places the organism in Eukaryota, Metazoa, Chordata, Aves, Galliformes, Phasianidae. The transcript has 3 exons. The record is from RefSeq and is a predicted model, not a curated record.
UCCAUCAGCUCGAGAUGGCUUUCUUCUGAAAGGUAUAAAGAUCAUCUUGUGACAGGGGUGUUGAGCCUAUUAGAAGUGAAUCUCAUGAAGAGAUAGGCCAAGAAAAGCCCCAAAGCAUUUCUUCUGUGUUAACUCAUAGAUACAGAUACCGUAGCUCUUACUCUACCAAGCCAAUCUCUGCCCACAACUCGGGCAGGCUGCCCAAGGAGGCUGUGGAUGCCCCAUCCCUGGAGGCGUUCAAGGCCUGGCUGGAUGUGGCUCUGGGCAGCCUGGGCUGGCGGUUGGUGAACCUGCACGCAGCGGGGGGUUGGAACGAGAUGAGCAUUGUGGUCCUUGUCAACACAGGCCGUGUUCAUAGAAUCACAGCAUGCAGCUGUUCCUGUCUGCCCAUGAGAAGGUUUCAUCCACGUGGUCAUCCUGGUUGGUUGGCCUGUAGAUCCCCCGCUACGUCAUCUGUCCCUGUCCUCCCUUUAAUCUGUGUCUAUAAAGUCUUGAUGGGCUCCCAUCCGUCCCCAGUCAGAGUUCUGUGUUUCUUCCAGUGCUUGAUGUUCACCAGAUUUUGAGGGUUCUGUUGUUGGUUGUAUUUGUUUUGUUUUUAAGGCACUUCAAGGGAAGUGGUGGAAAAGCAAUGCUAUGAAGUAAAAGACAACUGUCCCAGCGCAGCACGCUGCCAAGUUGCCGUACGAUGUUGCACCUGAACAAGCUCUUAAUCACGGUGAGGUGAGGACGCACCUGGAUGCCUCAAUCCGAGAUGUGAAGGCAGUGACAGACAAGUUCCUGUCUGCCAUCGUUGUUCAGCUGACCAAAUCCCUUACGGGAUGCGUUUCAUCGCCAAGGUACUGAAAGACUCCCGGCAUGACAAGUUUCCUGAUGCUGGCGAGGAUGAGCUUCUGAAGGUAAGGAGCUGAGCAG